RNAcentral lists this ribosomal RNA (462 nucleotides) under uncultured bacterium. Its description in RNAcentral is "partial 16S ribosomal RNA". It matches the Rfam family "Bacterial small subunit ribosomal RNA", at positions 28 to 507 of the family's 1533-position model. The record is from RNAcentral.
GACGAACGCUGGCGGCGUGCUUAACACAUGCAAGUCGAGCGGUAAGGCCUUUCGGGGUACACGAGCGGCGAACGGGUGAGUAACACGUGGGUGAUCUGCCCUGCACUUCGGGAUAAGCCUGGGAAACUGGGUCUAAUACCGGAUAUGACCUCCUAUCGCAUGGUGGGUGGUGGAAAGAUUUAUCGGUGCAGGAUGGGCGCGCGGCCUCUCAGCUUGUUGGUGGGGUAAUGGCCUACCAAGGCGACGACGGGUAGCCGACCUGAGAGGGUGACCGGCCACACUGGGACUGAGACACGGCCCAGACUCCUACGGGAGGCAGAAGUGGGGAAUAUUGCACAAUGGGCGAAAGCCUGAUGCAGCGACGCCGCGUGAGGGAUGACGGCCUUCGGGUUGUACACCUCUUUCAGCAGGGACGAAGCGCAAGUGACGGUACCUGCAGAAGAAGCACCGGCUAACUACGUG